GAUGAAGAACGUAGCGAAAUGCGAUACGUAAUGUGAAUUGCAGAAUUCAGUGAAUCAUCGAGACUUUGAACGCACAUUGCGCCCCCUGGUAUUCCGGGGGGCAUGCCUGUCCGAGCGUCAUUGCUGCCCUCAAGCCCGGCUUGUGUGUUGGGUCUCGUCCCCCUUCCCGGGGGGACGGGCCCGAAAGGCAGCGGCGGCACCGCGUCCGGUCCUCGAGCGUAUGGGGCUUUGUCACCCGCUCUGUAGGCCCGGCCGGCGCUUGCCGAUCAACCAAAACUUUUUUCCAGGUUGACCUCGGAUCAGGUAGGGAUACCCGCUGAACUUAAGCAUAUCAAUAAGCGGAGGA
This 346-nucleotide unclassified non-coding RNA is filed under the name soil metagenome. RNAcentral describes it as "partial contains 5.8S ribosomal RNA, internal transcribed spacer 2, and large subunit ribosomal RNA". The stretch from base 1 to 120 matches the Rfam family "5.8S ribosomal RNA", at positions 35 to 154 of the family's 154-position model. The record is from RNAcentral.